AAGAAACUAGAGGCUCUAAAGAGCCUGUGUCGCUCACCUUGGUCUAUGUGCAUAUUAAACAAAGGACACAAAUGGAUUCAUGACAAAAUUGUAUUUUGGUGAUGGUGAUGUGUUUGAAGUUCUUACUUUACUGAACAUUCUUGCUUCUUACAAUUAUAUCUAUAAUGAACUUUGCCAAUUAGUAACAGAGAAAAAUAUUUGGUAAAAAUUUACAUAAAUUUACCAAAUUAAUGAAAAUUGUUAAAAAUUGACUAUAAAGGGCAAUAACUCCUUAAGGGGUCAAUUGACCAUUUAGGUCAUGUGGACUUAUUUGUAGAUCAUACUUUGAUGAACAUUAUCGCUGUUUACAGUUUAUCGCUAUCUAUAAUAGUAUUCAAGAUAAUAACCAAAAACAGCAAAAUUUCUUUAAAAAUUACCAAUUGGAGGGCAGCAACCCAACAACCGGUUGUCCAAUUCAUUUGAAUAUUUCAGGGCAGAUAUAUAUUGACUUGAUUAACAAUUUAACUCCUUGUCAGAUUUCCUCUAAAUGAUUUGGGUUUCAGAGUUAUAAGCAAAAAACUACAUGUUACCCCUGUUCUAUUUUUAGCCGUGGUGGCCAUCUUGGUUGGAUGGCCAGGUCAUCGGACACAUUUUUCAAACAAGGUACCUCAAAGAUGAUUGUGGCCAAGUUUGAAUUAAUUUGGCCCAGUAGUUUCAGAGGAGAAGAUUUUUGUAAAAGAUAACUAAGAUUUACGAAAAAUGGUUAAAAAUUGACUAUAAAGGGCAAUAACUCCUAAAGGGGUCAACUGACCAUUUCGGUCAUGUUGACUUAUUUGUAAAUCUUACUUUGAUGAACAUUAUUGCUGUUUACAGUUUAUCUCUAUCUAUAAUAAUAUUCAAGAUAAUAACCAAAAACAGCAAAAUUUCCUCAAAAUUACCAAUUCAGGGGCAGCAACCCAACAACAGGUUGACCGAUUCAUCUGAAAAUUUCAGGGCAGAUAGAUCUUGACCUGAUAAACAUUUUUACUCCAGUCUGAUUUCCUCUAAAUGUUUUGGUUUUUGAGUUAUAAGCCAAAAACUGCAUUUUACCCCUAUGUUCUAUUUUUAGCCGUGGCGGCCAUCUUGGUUGGUUGACCGGGUCACGCCACACAUUUUUUAAACUAGAUACCCCAAAGAUGAUUGUGGCCAACUUUGGAUUAAUUUGGCCUAUUAGUUUCAGAGGAGAAGAUUUUUGUAAAAGAUUACUUAGAUUUAUGAAAAAUGGUUAAAAAUUGACUAUAAAGGGCAAUAACUCCUUAAAGGGGUCAACUGACCAUUUCGGUCAUGUUGACUUAUUUGUAAAUCUAACUUUGCUGAACAUUAUUCCUGUUUACAGUUUAUCUCUAUCUAUAAUAAUAUUCAAGAUAAUAAC
This 1390-nucleotide long non-coding RNA is filed under the name Mytilus galloprovincialis (Mediterranean mussel). The record is from RNAcentral. Lineage: Eukaryota; Metazoa; Mollusca; Bivalvia; Mytilida; Mytilidae.